This 76-nucleotide transfer RNA is filed under the name Pseudomonadota bacterium. Its description in RNAcentral is "tRNA-Trp". It matches the Rfam family "tRNA". Rfam says of the family: Transfer RNA (tRNA) molecules are approximately 80 nucleotides in length. Their secondary structure includes four short double-helical elements and three loops (D, anti-codon, and T loops). RNAcentral also lists the same sequence under 3 other names. Lineage: Bacteria; Pseudomonadati; Pseudomonadota. The record is from RNAcentral.
AGGAGUGUAGCUCAACUGGCAGAGCACCGGUCUCCAAAACCGGGGGUUGGGGGUUCGAGCCCCUCCACUCCUGCCA